This is an RNA transcript of Gossypium raimondii (Peruvian cotton), 1396 nucleotides long. It is a transcript of the gene named F-box protein SKIP19, with no coding region annotated. The record is from RefSeq and is a predicted model, not a curated record. Lineage: Eukaryota; Viridiplantae; Streptophyta; Magnoliopsida; Malvales; Malvaceae. The transcript has 3 exons.
AGGCCCAAAAAAAAGCCUCCCGUACCUACUUAAAUGGAAACGGGAAGGAUAGUUACUCCAAAAUCUUCCAAACGAAACAUGACCACCGCAGCUGAAACCCGCAAUUGGCUAGAACUGCCGUUGGACGUGACGGCUUCGAUUCUCUCCCGGAUAGGUGCGAUUGAGAUCCUUAACAGCGCCCAAAACGUGUGUUCUCUGUGGCGGAACAUCUGCAAGGACCCAUUAAUGUGGAGAUCCAUUGAUAUGCACAACUUGGGUGAUUUAUGGGACAUGGACUAUGACCUUGCGAAGAUGUGUGUCCACGCUGUCGAUCGCAGCUGCGGUCACUUGCUUGAUAUCAAUGUCGAGUAUUUUGGUACUGAUGCACUUCUUCUUCAUAUCUCUGAGAGGUCUGUUCAUCUUAAGCGUCUUCGAAUAGUAUCAUGCUAUAACAUUUCAGAUGAAGGGUUAAGUGAAGCAGCUUUAAAGCUUCCAUUUCUGGAAGAGCUUGAAAUUUCAUACUGCUCCAUUUCGAAAGAUGCUCUGGAAACUAUUGGUCGCAGUUGCCCUCUCUUGAAAUCAUUCAAAUUCAAUGUUCAGGGAUGCAGACGCUUCCACUUGGAGUCUGAUGAUGAGGCACUAGCUAUUGCACAAACCAUGCCUGAAUUACGCCACCUCCAACUUUUUGGGAACAAGUUGACUAAUGAUGGUUUGCUGGCCAUUCUCAAUGGUUGUCCUCACCUUGAAUAUCUUGACUUACGGCAAUGUUUCAAUGUUAGUCUGGGAGGGAACUUGGAGAAAAGAUGUGUUGAACGCAUAAAAAAUUUGCGACGCCCUAAUGAUUCAACUCAUGAUUAUGAGUUCUAUACGGAAGUUCAUGAUACUGGGUCAUCCGAUGAAGAUUAUCCAUCUGGAAUUUCAGACAUUGACUUUAUGUCCGAUGAUUAUGAUGAUUAUUUCGAGUUCUCAGGUGACUCUGAUUAUGAUUUCGGUUAUGACUAUGAUGGUGUGCUUUUUGACUGAUGCCAUGAAGUGAAGCAGGGGAUACUCCUCCAGUGUCCAGGGUAGGGAAUCAGGAUGAAGAUGAAAAUGGGAGAGCUGCUGCAAAUUCAGUGAUGUUAUUGCAGUUGAUCAGGUCAAAUACUGCACUUUUGUGUUUAUUUUGUUGCAUGGUAGGUUGGCAUUUGUAUGAAAUGUCGUGGUCAUCGACGGUGACACAAACAGAUAUUUUAUCUUUUGAGGGACCUUUGCAGUUGUGUACAUUUUGUUUGCCAUACUCUACUAUGUAUAAUAUAAGUAUGUGGUAGAAAUAGAUGUUUGUCGAGUUUUAGCUGCGUAUGUAAGGGUGCCAUAGCUCUGCCCAUUUGUGGCUGUGGAUAAUGAUGAAUGAAAUGAAGGGGCAUAGUCGAUUCUAACA